GAAGAGAGUACGGGGGAGGAGGUGCGGAUGAGGUUGAGGGGCAGGUGCGGGGAGGGUAGUGCAGUCGUGCCUAGGGUCGCGAGCGAGGGGAGGGGUAUGGGGUGUCCAGGUUCACUUUUAGCUGCUUUUAGGACCUCUUUGGGGGCUAAAAAUUAGCUCCAAAUUUUAGCCUCUUUGUACACUUUUAGCCCACCUGUUUGGAUCCCUAGAGCUAAUUUUUGGGCUAAAAGUGCAGAGCUAAAAAUUAGCCCUUGGAUCCAAACAGGCCCUUACACAGAUUGAUCAAAUAAAAGCUCUACAUAGGCUAUAGGAAUAUAUUCAUGUCAAUUAC
Molecule: long non-coding RNA, 331 nt
Filed under: Setaria viridis
Lineage: Eukaryota; Viridiplantae; Streptophyta; Magnoliopsida; Poales; Poaceae
Description: long non-coding RNA (SVIR_LNC008092)
Source: RNAcentral